RNAcentral lists this long non-coding RNA (605 nucleotides) under Vitis vinifera (wine grape). RNAcentral describes it as "long non-coding RNA (VVIN_LNC001920)". The record is from RNAcentral. Lineage: Eukaryota; Viridiplantae; Streptophyta; Magnoliopsida; Vitales; Vitaceae.
UUGGUCUUCGAUCCUCUUGUUCUGGACUAGGAUUCACCUGUGCUUCCCAUAUAUAAUAUUUGUACGUCUGUCUGUGGCGGUUCCUAGAAGGCUUUCUGGGCGGUUACGCGGCCCGAAAUUAACAGGCAAAUGUCUUUGAACCAACACGUGUUCUUUUUUUUUUUUGGGUUUAUGUUUCCUUCUUUGAAUUUGCUUUCUCAGGUUUGGUGACACCGCGGCUGGAAAAAAAAAAAAAAAAACAGAAAGAAAUUGCAGAGGAUUGCUGACAUGGCAGCCUCAUCCAACUAGCCAGGAGAUGAAUGAGACCGACUGCAUAUGAAAAGUAUGCACAUUGGAUUACCCAUUAUUAUUUGUUAAUAUAUACCUACCAGUUCUAUUCAAAGUAGGCGAGAAUGGUGGUUAUGCACAUGUAUAUAAUUGGUGUGAGUCAUGACCCAGUCAUUGAUCAGAUGAUUAAUGCGGUUGGGACCAGGGCAUUUCCCUCUUCUCUGGCAGCUGAAAACAGCCCAAACCUUCUCCUAAGUCAAUUUUACCAAGGUUUAGCAAGGGUUUAAGUGCUUUCUUAACCAAAAGUUUGUUUUGUCAUUAACAAUUGACGAAGAAUA